RNAcentral lists this ribosomal RNA (448 nucleotides) under uncultured bacterium. Its description in RNAcentral is "bacterial SSU rRNA". It matches the Rfam family "Bacterial small subunit ribosomal RNA", at positions 468 to 914 of the family's 1533-position model. The record is from RNAcentral.
CCUGACGGUACCUAAGGAAUAAGCCACGGCUAACUACGUGCCAGCAGCCGCGGUAAUACGUAGGUGGCAAGCGUUAUCCGGAUUUACUGGGUGUAAAGGGCGUGUAGGCGGGAUUGCAAGUCAGAUGUGAAAACCACGGGCUCAACCUGUGGCCUGCAUUUGAAACUGUAGUUCUUGAGUGCUGGAGAGGCAAUCGGAAUUCCGUGUGUAGCGGUGAAAUGCGUAGAUAUACGGAGGAACACCAGUGGCGAAGGCGGAUUGCUGGACAGUAACUGACGCUGAGGCGCGAAAGCGGUGGGGAGCAAACAGGAUUAGAUACCCUGGUAGUCCACGCUGUAAACGAUGGAUACUAGGUGUGGGGGGACUGACCCCCUCCGUGCCGCAGUUAACACAAUAAGUAUCCCACCUGGGGAGUACGAUCGCAAGGUUGAAACUCAAAGGAAUUGAC